CUGGAUUUAAGGGACAAAGUCGGGUGCAUCUCAUACAUGCGCCAAAGAAGACAACAUAUAUAAUAACAGAGUGUAUAGAGAUAAAUGUCACAAUAUAAUCAGAGUACUUAUUACAUAGCGGAAGUCUUACAAAAUAAAAUAUAAAUAUAGAUCGAAUUAAAAUCCAUCCUUAGCGCAAGAAAGUCAACUCGGAGACGCCACCUAGAUCAGAUCAAACUCCUCGUUGUGUGGCUCCUCUUGAACCACAUGCUCUUCUCCUGUGGGGGGAUGUGAGACAGCAAGGGUGAGCUCACACAUGAUCAUCGCUCAACAAGUUGUGGGGAAUAAUGUGCAUGAACUCACCAAAGGUGGGAGUUCAUGUGAUGUGUAAAGCUGAUCAACAAUGGGGGUUAAAGUUGAGCAUUGUUUUUAAUAAGUUGGUCAAAUUUUAUUAGCAAUUACUAAAUGUAAGUAAAUACCAAACCAUAAUAAAAAUAAUAGAACAAAAUUAAUAAAUAAUCCCAUGCAAUGCAUAUGACAAAAUUGAAUUUAGUUUCAUAAUUUAAUCAUGCGAGAGUCCUGAGCUGCUCAUGGCCGUGAGCUCGGCUAGUAUACCAGUUUUACACUCUGCAGAGGUUGUACCUUGUACCCACAAGUCGUGUAUCCCAUGUCGCCAGGUUUUGCAAAGCCCUUAAACACUACCAAGGUGAAUGGCUAGGGAUCCACUACGAUGCCUUUACAAAGUUCCACUAGCUUCCAAAAACCCGCUACAGUUUAUGGGAAGAUCACUUGCAAGAAUCCCUCGUCUGACCGUCAUCGCAACAAAAUCAACCCGAGAACCUCUCUGCAUGCAAUUCCCCUACUGCCCUUGCCCCUUUCGGGUAAGGUAGUCUUCCACUAUCUUUCCUAAUUAGUUACCCAAGGGCGUCCCAUUCCACCCUUGUGGUGGCACGUGUUUCUCGAGUUAAGUUCCAUGUUCCAAUUAAAGAUAAUGAUGAUUUUGACAUGAACAUAAAUAAAAUGACAGAACAAUUGGAACAUGGAUAUAAUAAAAUAUUAACCCAAAAUCAUGUAAAGCAAUAGCAUAACUACCCAAAUGAUUCAGGGGUAAACAAGGUAAAAAGGAUAAACAGACUAGGGUGACCUAUUGGGUCCCAUCAAAAUUAAACCUAUGCAUGAAUAAGUGAUAUUAAAGAACAUUAUUGGGUAAAAAGUGGUCAAGGGCACAACUUGCCCGACACUUGAGAUUCCAGGUACCAAGAUGAUCUUUCAGAUCCUUGCGGCCUCACGCUAGUCGUAGCAAUACAAACAAACAUGGUAUAGACAAAAUUAACAUCACACCAAAUAUAAGAAUAAACUGAAUAAUAAUAAUCUACACGUAGCUACGAGAUCGCGGGAUCGAGAACUACUACGAUCAGAGUUAUGGUUAAGAAGUUAUGAUCUAUGGGAGAUCUGCGUGGUUGGAAUAUUAAAUCAUGAAUUGAUUAUUGUACAUCCUAUGAGAGAUUAUUCCAUAAAUAAUUAAUUCAACUUCAAUCUAAGUUAUAAAUUGACCAUAGAUCAUAUUUUGGUAGAUUAUAAUGAUAAGCAGUUUAACCAUACUAACCAACAUAAGUUAAAUAAAGAUCUAACUAGAAAAGAAUGAGAUAUGGUACAAUAAAUGUUGUUAUUGCAUAGUAAAUAUUUAUACGAGACUAACGCAACUUGAACGGAUCAAAUCGGAGUUACGGAUUGUGAGUUAAGAAUUUCCGAAGGUUUUAUUUAUUUGAUACGAGAUUAAUUAAGAGAUAAAUUUUAAUAUGUUUUUCAUGUCAAAACAGAGGCACUAGGUGAUAGAUAAUAUUAUUAAAAAAUUAUAGAAACAGGAAUGGAUCAUUUUGGACUUGAUAUGGCUUUUCUAGGAAUUAAACAAGUUUUUAUAAUUAUUUUUGUAUUAAAAAUCAUUUUCUUAAUCAAUUCCUAUAAUUUUCCUAUUCACUGGACUGCGCACAGAAUUCCUGAGAAGCACAGGGUGUAGCGUGUAAAUUGUUCCAAGACUCUGGCUAAUUCCGCAGUGGACGGCGGGUUAAUAUAACAAAAGGGAAGGGGUUCUUUUAGAAAAUGUGAACGAUGAAAGGGUAUUGGGCGGUUCGAGUCGUCCAGAUUAGAUCUAGCGGUGAAGAUUGGAUCUGGCGUGUUAUGUACUGGUGAGCAGCGAGGACCAUUGGAUAAUGGAUCAACGGUCCAGGUCACUUUUGAACGUGAUCUAAUCAUACACGUCGGUAAAUGAUCCAACGGUGCCCGAUUUCCCCCUCCUCAUACAGACGGCCAGCCAAUCACAGCCGCAAACCCGUGGAUCUACGGUGCUCGUGUUUCUUCCCCGCUCGAAUUCGGGAACGGCGGCGCCGCCCGCGUUGAUUUCAAAUCCCGACGAGCAAUUUGUCCCCCAACAAUACCUAAUCCCGGAUUUAAUGGAGUUCUAGCGCAUGCGGAGAUGAAGACGGUCAAGGGCAGAGGGUACCUCGAUGGCGCAGCUGAUGCCGUCCACACGACCCGCGGAUCCGCAGCGGUUGUAGCACGACGGUGAGCAAUUCCCCCCUCACUGCACGACGAUUCCCGCCGGCGAGGCCAUGGAACGCAUCCACGAGACCCAGCGAAACCCCUGGGCACGACCCCAAGGAUGCGACGGCGAGAAGCAAGCAGGAUUGCCUACGGCAGUGACUCUCUUUACUUGGUCACAACUUAAUCUCGCGCCCCUGGUUGACUGUGGCUCACGGAUGGCUAGAGAAGAGGAGGUGCGGGAGAAUUCGGCCCGCCUUUGUAGCUAGGUAGAGGUGGUCUACGCGUGGCGAAGAAUCCGAGACGUGGCUCGCCAUGCUCGGAGCUGCGAUUGACGGGGUUAAGCUGACGGAGUCCGCGCGCUAGAUGAGGACAAUUCCGACCUGAGGGCCCCACCGCGAAGCCACGGCGCACAUGCUCAGUCGAGUAGUUGUGAGGCUGACUUUGAGGGACCCGCGUGGUUCGGCGCCGAGUCGGCCGGUGAUCUUUCCGCCGAGCAUGCCGGUGAAGUUGUUGAGAGGGGAUAGAGCUGACGGGAGCGGCCCACCAGU
Molecule: long non-coding RNA, 3068 nt
Filed under: Zea mays
Lineage: Eukaryota; Viridiplantae; Streptophyta; Magnoliopsida; Poales; Poaceae
Description: long non-coding RNA (ZMAY_LNC001762)
Source: RNAcentral